Molecule: ribosomal RNA, 503 nt
Filed under: uncultured Glomus
Lineage: Eukaryota; Fungi; Glomeromycota; Glomeromycetes; Glomerales; Glomeraceae
Description: SSU rRNA
Rfam family: Eukaryotic small subunit ribosomal RNA
Source: RNAcentral
AGCAGCCGCGGUAAUUCCAGCUCCAAUAGCGUAUAUUAAAGUUGUUGCAGUUAAAAAGCUCGUAGUUGAAUUUCGGGAUCAAUUUGCUGGUCGUGCCUCUGGUACGUACUGGUAUUAUUGGUUUCUCCCUUCUGACGAACCAUGAUGUCAUUAAUUUGAUGUCGUGGAGAAUCAGGACUGUUACUUUGAAAAAAUUAGAGUGUUUAAAGCAGGCAUUAGCUUGAAUACAUUAGCAUGGAAUAAUGAAAUAGGACGUUUGAUCCUAUUUUGUUGGUUUCUAGGAUUGACGUAAUGAUUAAUAGGGAUAGUUGGGGGCAUUAGUAUUCAAUUGUCAGAGGUGAAAUUCUUGGAUUUAUUGAAGACUAACUACUGCGAAAGCAUUUGCCAAGGAUGUUUUCAUUAAUCAAGAACGAAAGUUAGGGGAUCGAAGACGAUCAGAUACCGUCGUAGUCUUAACCAUAAACUAUGCCGACUAGGGAUCGGAUGAUGUUAAUUUUUAAUGA